CUGGGAUCUGCCUGGGAAUCUGAUUGGUCCGUACAGGAUUGUCAUAGGGCUGUUUGCGAAAUCCAAAGUAGUACCCCAGGUAGACCAAGGGCAAUGAGAUCCCGAACCACAUACAGAGCAAGGCCACCAUGGUAGGGAAAGGCACCGCUCCAGAGGAGUGUUCUCCCCAGAUGAAACAGUUCAGGACAAAGCAGAUACCAAAGACGACACCCG
Molecule: long non-coding RNA, 213 nt
Filed under: Gallus gallus (chicken)
Lineage: Eukaryota; Metazoa; Chordata; Aves; Galliformes; Phasianidae
Source: RNAcentral